RNAcentral lists this small nuclear RNA (107 nucleotides) under Microtus ochrogaster (prairie vole). The record is from RNAcentral. Lineage: Eukaryota; Metazoa; Chordata; Mammalia; Rodentia; Cricetidae.
GUGCUCUCUUCAGCAGCACAUAUGCUAACAUUGGAAAAAUACAGAGAAGAAUAGCAUGGCCCCUAAUAAAGAAAAAAAAGAAUGCAAGACAGUACAUGGACAUUAAC